CCUACGGGUGGCAGCAGUGAGGAAUAUUGGUCAAUGGGCGCGAGCCUGAACCAGCCAAGUCGCGUGAGGGAAGACGGUCCUAUGGAUUGUAAACCUCUUUUGUCGGGGAGCAAAAGACGCCACGCGUGGCGUUCCGAGAGUACCCGAAGAAAAAGCAUAGGCUAACUCCGUGCCAGCAGCCGCGGUAAUACGGAGGAUGCGAGGGUUAUCAGGAUUGAUUGGGUUAAAAGGGUGCGCAGGCGGAAGAUCAAGUCAGCGGUAAAAUGGAGGGGCUCAACCUCUUCGAGCCGUUGAAACUGGUUUUCUUGAGUGAGUGAGAAGUAAGUGGAAUGCGUGGUGUAGCGGUGAAAUGCAUAGAUAUCACGCAGAACACCGGUUGCGAAGGCAGCAUACCGGCGCUCAACUGACGCUCAUGCACGAAAGUGUGGGGAUCGAACAGGAUUAGAUACCCGAGUAGUC
RNAcentral lists this ribosomal RNA (459 nucleotides) under uncultured bacterium. RNAcentral describes it as "partial 16S ribosomal RNA". It matches the Rfam family "Bacterial small subunit ribosomal RNA", at positions 338 to 795 of the family's 1533-position model. The record is from RNAcentral.